UACGAAGGGGGCUAGCGUUGCUCGGAAUCAUUGGGCGUAAAGAGCGUGUAGGCGGCCCGGUAAGUCCGCUGUGAAAGUCGAGGGCUCAACCCUCGAAUGCCGGCGGAUACUGUCGGACUAGAGUCCGGAAGAGGUGAGUGGAAUUCCCGGUGUAGCGGUGAAAUGCGCAGAUAUCGGGAGGAACACCAAUGGCGAAGGCAGCUCACUGGGACGGUACUGACGCUGAGACGCGAAAGCGUGGGGAGCAAACAGG
RNAcentral lists this ribosomal RNA (253 nucleotides) under uncultured bacterium. RNAcentral's name for it is "partial 16S ribosomal RNA". It matches the Rfam family "Bacterial small subunit ribosomal RNA", at positions 524 to 776 of the family's 1533-position model. The record is from RNAcentral.